Molecule: ribosomal RNA, 749 nt
Filed under: Microbacterium aurantiacum
Lineage: Bacteria; Bacillati; Actinomycetota; Actinomycetes; Micrococcales; Microbacteriaceae
Description: partial 16S ribosomal RNA
Rfam family: Bacterial small subunit ribosomal RNA
Source: RNAcentral
GUCGAACGGUGAAGCCAAGCUUGCUUGGUGGAUCAGUGGCGAACGGGUGAGUAACACGUGAGCAACCUGCCCUGGACUCUGGGAUAAGCGCUGGAAACGGUGUCUAAUACUGGAUAUGAGCUCUCAUCGCAUGGUGGGGGUUGGAAAGAUUUUUCGGUCUGGGAUGGGCUCGCGGCCUAUCAGCUUGUUGGUGAGGUAAUGGCUCACCAAGGCGUCGACGGGUAGCCGGCCUGAGAGGGUGACCGGCCACACUGGGACUGAGACACGGCCCAGACUCCUACGGGAGGCAGCAGUGGGGAAUAUUGCACAAUGGGCGGAAGCCUGAUGCAGCAACGCCGCGUGAGGGAUGACGGCCUUCGGGUUGUAAACCUCUUUUAGCAGGGAAGAAGCGAGAGUGACGGUACCUGCAGAAAAAGCGCCGGCUAACUACGUGCCAGCAGCCGCGGUAAUACGUAGGGCGCAAGCGUUAUCCGGAAUUAUUGGGCGUAAAGAGCUCGUAGGCGGUUUGUCGCGUCUGCUGUGAAAUCCCGAGGCUCAACCUCGGGCCUGCAGUGGGUACGGGCAGACUAGAGUGCGGUAGGGGAGAUUGGAAUUCCUGGUGUAGCGGUGGAAUGCGCAGAUAUCAGGAGGAACACCGAUGGCGAAGGCAGAUCUCUGGGCCGUAACUGACGCUGAGGAGCGAAAGGGUGGGGAGCAAACAGGCUUAGAUACCCUGGUAGUCCACCCCGUAAACGUUGGGAACUAGUUGU